GGAUGGGUGAGUAAUACGUGGGCAACCUGCCCUCUAGCUUGGGAUACCACUUGGAAACAGGUGCUAAUACCAAAUAAGAAGUAAGAGCGCAUGCUCAAGCUAUAAAAAGGCGGCGUAAGCUGUCACUAGAGGAUGGGCCCACGGUGCAUUAGCUAGUUGGUAAGGUAACGGCUUACCAAGGCGAUGAUGCAUAGCCGAGUUGAGAGACUGAACGGCCACAUUGGGACUGAGACACGGCCCAA
This 242-nucleotide ribosomal RNA is filed under the name uncultured bacterium. RNAcentral describes it as "partial 16S ribosomal RNA". It matches the Rfam family "Bacterial small subunit ribosomal RNA", at positions 100 to 334 of the family's 1533-position model. The record is from RNAcentral.